AUUGAACGCUGGCGGCAUGCUUUACACAUGCAAGUCGAACGGUAACAGGCCGCAAGGUGCUGACGAGUGGCGCACGGGUGAGUAAUGCAUCGGAACGUGCCCAGUCGUGGGGGAUAACUACUCGAAAGAGUAGCUAAUACCGCAUACGAUCUAUGGAUGAAAGCGGGGGACCGUAAGGCCUCGCGCGAUUGGAGCGGCCGAUGUCAGAUUAGGUAGUUGGUGGGGUAAAGGCUCACCAAGCCAACGAUCUGUAGCUGGUCUGAGAGGACGACCAGCCACCAUGGGACUGAGACACGGCCCAGACUCCUACGGGAGGCAGCAGUGGGGAAUUUUGGACAAUGGGCGCAAGCCUGAUCCAGCAAUGCCGCGUGCAGGAAGAAGGCCUUCGGGUUGUAAAAUGCUUUUGUUAGGAACGAAACGGGCCUGGUUAAUACCCGGGGCUAAUGACGGUACCGUAAGAAUAAGCCCCGGCUAACUACGUG
Molecule: ribosomal RNA, 482 nt
Filed under: uncultured bacterium
Lineage: Bacteria
Description: partial 16S ribosomal RNA
Rfam family: Bacterial small subunit ribosomal RNA
Source: RNAcentral